UUGGACAGGUCCUCAUGCAGCACCAUGCCUGACCGCAUGACAGGAGAGGAUGGGGGGGGGGGGGGGACGUUAACGCCACUUCAAUGACCAGUGGCACUUAGCAGCUUGCGCGUGGCGUCGGUGAGGCUGCCCAGCGGCUCCAGGCAGGGGUAGCCGUCCUUCAGGAGCAGCAGGGCCCCGGGCGGGCCGUCGGAGCCUUGCAGCCGCAUGGCCAGACUCUGCAUGCACUGCUUCAGCUUGGCCACCGGGGGGAGCCCACACUGCUCUUUGAAAGCCACCGUUGCACUCUUGAGACAAACGGGAAGAGAAGCAAGCGCGGAGCCUCUCCUCACCAUGGCGUCCUCGCGCAGGUCGGUGGCCUCCUUGAUGGGUGCGGCGGCUGGCUUGAAGGUCUCCUCCAGCA
Long non-coding RNA from Alosa sapidissima (American shad), 403 nucleotides. RefSeq lists it as uncharacterized. The transcript has 3 exons. NCBI's taxonomy places the organism in Eukaryota, Metazoa, Chordata, Actinopteri, Clupeiformes, Clupeidae. The record is from RefSeq and is a predicted model, not a curated record.